UAGUUUGAUUCUAACUAAUAGAUUAGUAUGUAUAUUAUAAAUCUCAUGCUAAAGCAGAGUAAAAUAAAUAAUAUAGGUUAUAACAACUUUGAGUAAUACCUAAUAGCAGCGAUGAGUACUUUAAUUAUAUGUAAAUACAUGAAAAGGUAUAAAUACUUUAGCUGGCCAAAUUCGUGCCAGCAGCAGCGGUUAUACGAUAAGCCUCUAAUAACCAAAAUCAAGAAAAAGAUAAAAUAAGCUAAUAUAAAAGUCAAAUUUCCACUAUAUAAGGUCUACAAUUAUCUUAUAAAAAGCUAUAAACUAAAACAAGGAUUAGAUACCCUUCUAUUAUUAGUAUAAAUAAUGAUUGGGGACUACGAGCAAUGGCUUAAAAACCCAAGAUUUUGGCGGUGUUUUAUUCAAUCAGGGGAAUCUGUCUCAUAAUCGAUAACCCACGAAAAAUUAACCUUACCCUUGAAAGCAACAGUUUGUGUACUGCCGUCCAAUGGGCCCUUAAGGUUACCCGUAAUAAAUUAUUAUAAAUUUUACGUCAGGUCAAAGUGCAGCUAACGGGAAGGGGAAGAUGGAUUACAGUCUAUACCAUAGAUAGAGUUAUAACAUAAAGUUAUAAUAAAAGAGAACUUGAUAGUAAUUUUAUUUAUAAAAAUAAAAUGAAUAAAGAACUUAAAACAAGCACAUAUCGCCCGUCACUCCUUUAUAUAGGAUAAGUCGUAACAUAGUAGGUGUAAUGGAAAUUGCAUCUGU
This 744-nucleotide ribosomal RNA is filed under the name Erpobdella octoculata. Its description in RNAcentral is "12S ribosomal RNA". Lineage: Eukaryota; Metazoa; Annelida; Clitellata; Hirudinida; Erpobdellidae. The record is from RNAcentral.